CCUACGGGCGGCAGCAGUAGGGAAUCUUCGGCAAUGGACGAAAGUCUGACCGAGCAACGCCGCGUGAGUGAAGAAGGUUUUCGGAUCGUAAAGCUCUGUUGUAGCGGAAGAACGCGUGUAAGAGUGGAAAGUUUACACAGUGACGGUACGCUACCAGAAAGGGACGGCUAACUACGUGCCAGCAGCCGCGGUAAUACGUAGGUCCCGAGCGUUGUCCGGAUUUAUUGGGCGUAAAGGGAGCGCAGGCGGUUUAGUAAGUCUGAAGUUAAAGGCAUUGGCUCAACCAAUGUAUGCUUUGGAAACUGUUAGACUUGAGUGCAGAAGGGGAGAGUGGAAUUCCAUGUGUAGCGGUGAAAUGCGUAGAUAUAUGGAGGAACACCGGUGGCGAAAGCGGCUCUCUGGUCUGUAACUGACGCUGAGAAGCGAAAGCAUGGGGAGCGAACAGGAUUAGAUACCCCGGUAGUC
Molecule: ribosomal RNA, 465 nt
Filed under: uncultured Streptococcus sp.
Lineage: Bacteria; Bacillati; Bacillota; Bacilli; Lactobacillales; Streptococcaceae
Description: bacterial SSU rRNA
Rfam family: Bacterial small subunit ribosomal RNA
Source: RNAcentral